RNAcentral lists this ribosomal RNA (356 nucleotides) under Escherichia coli. RNAcentral's name for it is "bacterial SSU rRNA". It matches the Rfam family "Bacterial small subunit ribosomal RNA", at positions 1144 to 1501 of the family's 1533-position model. The record is from RNAcentral. Lineage: Bacteria; Pseudomonadati; Pseudomonadota; Gammaproteobacteria; Enterobacterales; Enterobacteriaceae.
GGAGCUCGCCCCUAGGUGGAGGAAGGUGGGGAUGACGUCAAGUGAUGAUGGCCCUUACGACCAGGGCUACACACUGGUACAAUGGCGCAUACAAAGAGAAGCGACCUCGCGAGAGCAAGCGGACCUCAUAAAGUGCGUCGUAGUGCGGAUUGGAGUCUGCAACUCGACUCCAUGAAGUCGGAAUCGCUAGUAAUCGUGGAUCAGAAUGCCACGGUGAAUACGUUCCCGGGGCUUGUAGACACCCGCCCGUCACACCAUGGGAGUGGGUUGCAAAAGAAGUAGGGUAGCGUAAGCUUCGGGACGGGCGCGUACCACUUUAUGAUUCCAUGAGUGGGUGAAGUCCCAUCAUAGCACCG